Long non-coding RNA from Sinocyclocheilus rhinocerous, 481 nucleotides. RefSeq lists it as uncharacterized. The transcript is spliced from 3 exons. The record is from RefSeq and is a predicted model, not a curated record. Lineage: Eukaryota; Metazoa; Chordata; Actinopteri; Cypriniformes; Cyprinidae.
UAACUGCUUCAAGCAUCACUGGAGCGACGCGCGGAGGAGCGUGUGUUUGGAGGUCACGCCGGGAGGCAUCGAUCAGAUCGACCCUCAGAGCAACCGCGUGAUCUGCUCGUACGACUACCGCUGCGUGGAGGGCUUCGCCGAGCUCUCCGACUAUCAGGGAGGCUUCUGUGUGCUGUAUGGAGGCUUCGGCAGACUGCAUCUGUUUGCGUCCGAGCACCGUGACGAGAUCAUUCGCAGUGCGAUCGAACACGCCGGGAGCUUCAUCGGCAUCACGCUGCGCCUGCGUAAGGAGCUUCUGGCGUUCGAGGGCUUCCUUGGCGAGCGUCUGGGGAAGUACGGUUCGGACGAGUGCAUCACCUCACUGACCGAGUUCAUCGUGCAGAAGAUCACGCCGCGGCACACGGAGCCUGUGAGGAGGAUCCUGGCGCUCACAGAGACGUGUCUGGUGGAGCGAGACCCUGCCUCUUACAACAUCGUCACC